AGCUCAGCUGGUGGGUGGGGAGUGCCUUUGGCCACUGGGGCGCCCAUUCCGGAGAGGGACCGCUCGUGCCCACGUCCUGGGUGCUGUCCCUCCCACAGGCUCUACUUGAUGGCGGAGUCUUCUGUCUGAGGUAGUUUUGGGGAUUUCUGGGGAAGUGGAACCAUUACUACAGGGUGGAGUAUGAAGUCACUACGACAGAAUGAAAUUUUCAUCUCCAUUCAGUAAAGAGCUGUUUUAUUGCUUUGUGUAUUUAGAGCCUCGUGCCUAAUUUAGGGCAAGAAAGUGGUAAGGGUAAAGCAUUGGCCAUAACUAUUUACAACUGAUGUUGUGAAUAGUGUGACAUUAGCCUAACUUUUAUGUUCAGGAUCUGUUUCCUCAACAUUUCUUUUUUUUUGAUAAUUUUUUUUGAUGUGUUAAAAUGGGAAUGAAAGUAGAGAAGCCUUUUGGGAGGGGUUCAACUUAAAAUAUUUGAAAUCACGCUGCAGUUUUUCUGGGACCCCAAACAUUUCCAGCCACGGUUUCUAGUUCCUUGUUUUGUACAGAAGCAGUGCCACAGAAUAUAUUGGAGUAUUUGUGAAGGUAUGUUCCUGGACCACAGAAGAGAGUUGCUAGAGCUCUUUGACUUGAUUCCUGAUACUCUAAAAAGGAGUGUUUGAAUCUUAAUUCCAGAAAUCUGUCCAUAAAGCUAACAAUUUCCUAUCACAGUGAACAUUUUCUUUAAUGUUUCCCUUAGUGUGUCUCUUUCCUUUCUAUAGGUUGACUAUUCUCCAACCAGAAGACUCUUCUUCAUUAGGAAGGAUAGCAUCUGCUGAGGAUCCUGCUUUGUGGGAAUGAAAUUUAGUCCUAGCUGGGGAAAAUGGCUGACUUCAGGGUUGGGAAGAUGUACAUUCAAACAGAUUGCGGGUGUUAUUCAUAUCCAGGAAAUCACUGGAGAGGGGCUGAUAUGUGGCAGACAUUUAACAACCUUAAAUCUUUUCCUUUCUAGGCUCCUAUAG
RNAcentral lists this long non-coding RNA (995 nucleotides) under Nannospalax galili (Upper Galilee mountains blind mole rat). RNAcentral's name for it is "lncRNA (ENSNGAG00000024578.1)". Lineage: Eukaryota; Metazoa; Chordata; Mammalia; Rodentia; Spalacidae. The record is from RNAcentral.